Molecule: transfer RNA, 76 nt
Filed under: Candidatus Sulfopaludibacter sp. SbA4
Lineage: Bacteria; Pseudomonadati; Acidobacteriota; Terriglobia; Bryobacterales; Solibacteraceae
Description: tRNA-Ile
Rfam family: tRNA
About the family: Transfer RNA (tRNA) molecules are approximately 80 nucleotides in length. Their secondary structure includes four short double-helical elements and three loops (D, anti-codon, and T loops).
Source: RNAcentral
GCGAGAGCAGCUCGACCGGUGGAGCACGCGACCGAUAAUCGCGCGGUUGUCGGUUCGAUUCCGACCUCUCGCACCA